Molecule: transfer RNA, 151 nt
Filed under: Planctomycetaceae bacterium
Lineage: Bacteria; Pseudomonadati; Planctomycetota; Planctomycetia; Planctomycetales; Planctomycetaceae
Description: tRNA-Leu
Source: RNAcentral
GGCGUCAAAUUGGGUACACUCAAAUUGGGUACAGCCAAGGCUCCAUAAGUCAUUGAAUCAAAAAGACUUGUGAUACACAAAAACUGCCGUUAUUGGACUUAAAAUCCUUUGUCGGGUAACCGGCGUGCGGGUUCGAGUCCCGCCUGGGCCA